Molecule: long non-coding RNA, 586 nt
Organism: Clupea harengus (Atlantic herring)
Lineage: Eukaryota; Metazoa; Chordata; Actinopteri; Clupeiformes; Clupeidae
Source: Ensembl
GUGUGGAGUAGUGUGUGGUGUGGUGUAGUGUGUGGUGUGUGGUGUUGUGUGGAGUAGUGUGUGGUGUGGUGUGGUGUGUGGUGUGGUGUGUAGUGUGUGGUGUGUGGUGUGUGGUGUGGAGUAGUGUGUGGAGUAGUGUGGUGUGUGUGUGGUGUGUAGUGUGUGGUGUGGAGUAGUGUGUGGUGUGGAGUAGUGUGUGGUGUGGAGUAGUGUGUGGUUUGGAGUAGUGUGUGGUGUGGUGUAGUGUGUGGUGUAGUGUGUAGUGUGUGGUGUGGUGUGGUGUGGAGUAGUGUGUGGUGUAGUGUGUGGUGUAGUGUGUGGAGUAGUGUGUGUAGUGUGGUGUAGUGUGUGGUGUAGUGUGUGGUGUAGUGUGUGGUGUGGUGUAGUGUGUGGAGUAGUGUGGUGUGGUGUAGUGUGGUGUGUGGUGUAGUGUGUGGAGUAGUGUGUGGUGUGUAGUGUGUGGUGUGGUGUAGUGUGUGGUGUAGUGUGUGGUGUGGUGUAGUGUGUGGUUUGGAGUAGUGUGUGGUGUGGUGUAGUGUGUGGUGUAGUGUGUAGUGUGUGGUGUGGUGUGGUGUGGAGUAGUGUG